RNAcentral lists this ribosomal RNA (1422 nucleotides) under uncultured prokaryote. RNAcentral describes it as "partial 16S ribosomal RNA". It matches the Rfam family "Bacterial small subunit ribosomal RNA". The record is from RNAcentral.
CAGAACGAACGCUGGCGGCGUGGCUAAGACAUGCAAGUCGAACGGACUAUAUUGAAGAGUAAUCGGAUAUAUAGUUAGUGGCGAAAGGGCGAGGAAUAAAUAGGUAACGUACCCUGAACUUUGGGAUAGCGUCUCGAAAGAGGCAGUAAUACUGUAUAAUAUCUUCGACCUCAAGGUUGAUGAUCAAAGAUUUAUCGGUUUAGGAGCGGCCUAUUUCCCAUCAGCUUGUUGGUAAGGUAAUGGCUUACCAAGGCAUCGACGGGUAUCGGGACUGAGAGGUUGACCCGACGCAUCGGAACUGAGACACUGUCCGGACCUCCACGGAGGGCUGCAGUAACGAAUAUUGCACAAUGGGCGAAAGCCUGAUGCAGCAACGCCGCGUGUAGGAUGAAGCUCCUUGGAGUGUAAACUACUGUCAGGGGUUAGAAAGUGCGCUUAGGCGCAUUGAUCACCCCCAGAGGAAGUCACGGCUAACUUCGUGCCAGCAGCCGCGGUAAUACGAAGGUGGCGAGCGUUGUUCGGAAGUAUUGGGCUUAAAGAGCACGUAGGCGGAUCAGAAAGUGUCUUGUGCAAACUUGAGGCUUAACUUCAAGCUUGCCAUUGAUACUGUUAUUCUUGAGUGUGGCAGAGGUUGGUGGAAUUCCUGGUGUAGCGGUGGAAUGCGCAGAUAUCAGGAAGAACACCGGUGGCGAAGGCGACCAACUGGGCCGUUACUGACGCUGAGGCGCGAAAGCUAGGGUAGCGAACGGGAUUAGAUACCCCGGUAGUCCUAGCCGUAAACGAUGGAUGCUAGACGUGUAUCGACCCCCCCUGUGUCGCAGUUAACGCAUUAAGCAUCCCGCCUGGGGAGUACGAUCGCAAGAUUGAAACUCAAAGGAAUUGACGGGGGCCCGCACAAGCGGUGGAGCAUGUGGUUUAAUUCGACGCAACGCGAAGAACCUUACCUAGGCUUGAACUGCAGGGAAAAACCGGCGAAAUAGAGUUCUUCGGGUCGUUCCUGUGAAGGUGCUGCAUGGCUGUCGUCAGCUCGUGUCGUGAGAUGUUGGGUUAAGUCCCGCAACGAGCGCAACCUUUGCCGUUAGUUGCCAUCAGGUCAAGCUGGGCACUCUAACGGGACUGCCCCGGAAAUCGGGGAGGAGGGUGGGGAUGACGUCAAGUCCUCAUGUCCUUUAUGUCUAGGGCUACACACGUGCUACAAUGGGCGAUACAAAGGGCUGCGAUGCCGCGAGGUGGAGCCAAUCCCAAAAAAUCGUCCUCAGUUCGGAUUGCAGUCUGCAACUCGACUGCAUGAAGGUGGAAUCGCUAGUAAUCGCGGAUCAGCAUGCCGCGGUGAAACGUUCCCGGGCAUUGUACACACCGCCCGUCACGCCAUGGGAGUCGGUAGCACCCGAAGCCGGUGGCCCAAUCCUGCUUGCAGGAGGG